Molecule: long non-coding RNA, 221 nt
Filed under: Lathyrus oleraceus (garden pea)
Lineage: Eukaryota; Viridiplantae; Streptophyta; Magnoliopsida; Fabales; Fabaceae
Description: Pisum sativum (pea) long non-coding RNA (PSAT_LNC030266)
Source: RNAcentral
UGCGCUCUCCAGUCGAAGUCUUUGUUCUUCCCCAGUCUAGUAAGAUUCGUAUUUACUUGUGGGAUCGAAUGCCCAUCCUGUAAGUCGAGUUUGCUUUUUCAGCCCUCCUUUCGGAUGAUGAGCGUCUUGGAUAUGUCCCCAAUUCACGCCUGGUUGGUCACCUAUUAUAUUCCCAGUAACCGGUAUCCCUGGUGUUCCUUCCUCCUGCUCCCUAUUAUGAC